CUUAUAACAACUUUUCUGAAACAAAUUGAGAUGAACUAUUGCCACAGACAGUGAGGAAGCAGCUGGAGGCAAGUCUGGCUUGAGGAACGAACCGUGCUGGGGUAUUGUGAGGUGCAAUGUGUUUGAGCCACAGAGAUGGAGUUUGUAUUGCCGCCGGAGAUGGAAUUAGCGAGUUGGAGAGCAGUCGAUGUGGAAGAGUUAAGAUGUCCUUCUACCUACCCCAGCCUCACGAGGAUGGACCUCUGUACUUUUCAACUGUGACCACUAUAAGCCUUGGCUUUCAAACUCUACUAGGUUUCUAUCAUUCCAUUACAAAAGAGAAUGAAAAGGGAGAGGAGCAGCAGAGUAUCAGUCUACAUCCCGGCAAAGGACAUGUGAGAGUGGCACUUAGUAUUAUCAAGGAUCCCUCCCAUCCAUCCAGCAUCCUCUUUGACAUUCUACAUCAGGAACAACAACAGCAAAACAAGCCCUUGCUUCCCACCCCACACACCCCAGGACAGGCCUCCACAUUUCUGGGCCUUCAGAUUCCGGUGGACUCUAACUACCAGACAUCGGAUCUUUGACUUCCCCAGCAAUCUUGCAAAGGGUCACAGACCCAGGGCGUCAGCCAUCAGGCCUCAACUCUUGGACUUUCAAUCUACUCCAGAACUAGCCAAUGACAAUGAAGUGGAGACCCCCAAAUUCUGGGCCUCAAACUCAGGUCUCACCGACUUGCGUACCUGGGAGGUCAUUGGCCCUCGUGCCUCCUGUCCGCACAGAACUUCAACCCCAGAAAAUGCUGCCAAUUCAUUCUCAUUUACUUUAGGGUGGGGGCCACCAGCCUUUAUCCUAACUGGUCUGCCAGACUGACAUUCAACCUCAGGAACUAUGUAAGUAAAUUCCACACAUUUAUUUAUUUAGAGAUACAGCUCGGUAAUAGGCCUUUCCAGCCCAACAAGGCCGUGCCACUCAACUACAUACAUGUGACCAAUUAACCUACUAACCCAUGUAUCUGGAUUGUGAGUGGAAACUGGAGCACCUGGAGGAAACCCACGUAGUCAUGGGGAGAACAUACAAACUGCUUGCAGUGUCAGGAAUUGAACCCAGAUCACUAGCGCAGUAAUAGUGUUGUGCUCACCACAAAUGCUACCAUAACACAUGCAUAUACCUUGCCUGUUAUAUCGUCAUAGUCUUCUGAGUUUUACAAAUUACAGGAUAAAUUUAAAUACCCAGUCCUUAAAUAUUACUCUCCUCAAAGAGGGCCACGACCUUGUUGUGGUUUGAGGCUUGCGUGCCUCGAUGACCCGGAGAGCUAUGUUGGCUGGACUCAGGGCUUUAUGAUUUGGCUGUUGGUAGGGUCACCCAUGUCAAAGAAUAGAGGCCAGAUUCAGAGUGGUCCACCAGUACUCCAGGUUCAGGGAGUUCAGCUCAGGGUGAACAACCCUGACUGGUCAAACAAAAUUGUAAUGGAAACAGCAUGAAGAAUCCCUCUGCAUGUGAGUGUGACAGAAUACCCGAGUCUCCAUCUGGACUUGUGUGACUGACACUAGUGAAACCAGAGGGACGGGGAGUGACUGACAUGAUGAAGGAAGCCCCGAACACCACCGGAGAUGGAGGAGCUUCAUUGCUGCUCUAAAUGCUGGCGGUGUAAUGGGCAGUCAGUCAGUAAGUAAUGUUACUGUGUACAAUAGGCUGUCCUGAAAUACACACCAACUAGUCUGGCAUGGUUUAAUAAAUUAGUGUAAGAAAUUGCUUAUCAUAUGUACUGACUGUAAUAUAAAUGCUUGUGGUCAUGAAUAUUGACAAGUUAGCUCAGGGGUCGGCAACCCGCGGCUCCGGAGCCGCAUGCGCCUCUUUCAUCUCUGUGCUGCAGCUCCCCGUGGUUUGUUAGUUUUUGAAAUGUAAUUCGAAAUUUGAAGAUUAUGGUGAUCUUGUACAAUCUAAAUAAAACGUUGUGGAGACCCCAUUUCCUGGCACAUCCGAACCGGCUCACAAUUAGCCACCAUUCCGGCUAAGGGAGAUAGCCUACAGGGGUUUGUGAGUACGUGUCUUUUGGAGCAUCCGUGCCCACGGGGACGGGUUGAGGGAGGCUCUAAAGCAAGGCUGUUUAGUUCGAAUAAAGUUACCUUUGACUGCAGUGUCUUUAUUUUAGCACUGCGUGUAGCACACCGCUAAAACGUGUUUUUUUAUCGCUAUUAAUAUACGUCACCACUGCCAAUGCCUGACACCCGCCAGUGCGCGCUUUCUUUUAAUUCUUCGAUCCAAGGUAGGCUAACUACGGAAUAACCUUCAACCCAACGUCUUUUUUUCGGAGUUCAAAAUGUUUUUGUUGCAUGCAGAAAUGUAAUUUCGUUUUCACUGCAGGAGUUCAUCAAUUUCAUAAAUACAACACAUUAUAGUUUGUUUAUACAUAGCAUAAAGGCAAAAAAAACCCGUUGUAUGCAGUGUUAUUUCAUUUUAAAUGUCAAACGGGUUUUGUGGCUCCCAGUGUUUUCUUUUCUGUGGGAAAUGGGUCCAUAUUGGCUCUUUCAGUGAUAAACGUUGCCGACCCCUGAGUUAGCUUUUAUUUAUUUAGUGUAAUCAGUAAAUACAAGUCUCAACUUUAUUAAAAUUUAACCUGGUUUACUAUCACCAUGUUGGAGAUGCUGAAGUGUUGGAAUGGACAGUAGUUUUGAUGGACUGUCGAUGAUGGUCUCUGCAAGAUUUGCUGUUGCUUGCAUGGUGCGGGGAGGGGGGGGGGGUUGAUGCCUUUGCUGGGGCAAGUGGGGGGAAGGGGAGGGUUGAUGAUUUUGUUGCUGCUUGUUAGGGGGAGGGAGACUUUGGGGUUCUAAUGUUUUCUGUCAUUCAUUCUUUGCGUUUUUCUGUUUUGUGAAUGUCUGUGAAGAAUAAGGAUUUCUGGUUGUAUACUGUAUACACUCUAAUAUUCAAUUGGGUCAUAUUGCGGGUCACAUAGCAUUAAUGGAAAUCAAUAAACAGCCUUCACUUCAGACUGCGGCCCUCCUUCAGGUCUGGAACGGAAGAGGGAAGAUGGCAGAAUGUGAACGGAGGUGGGGAAGGAGGAGAGCUCGAAGUUGAUAGGUGAAGCCAGGUGGGUAGGAAGGAAUCUAAUAGGAAAGGAGAGUGGACCAUUGUAGAAAGGGAAGGAGGAGGUGACAGACAGCUGAGAAGAGGUAAAAGUGAGUGUGAGGAAUAGAAGAAGAGGAAAAGGGGACUUUUUUUAGCAGAGGGAGAAGCCAUCAGGAUGGAGGCUACUCAGUUGGAAUAUAAGCUGUUGCUCCAACCUGAGGAUGGUCUCACUUUGACAUGAGGUGGCCAUGGACUGACAUGUUGGACUACAGUGAGAAUGAGUAAAUGGGAAAUAACCAAAUUUUGUGAUGUUAACAAUACACAAGUAAAUUAAAUAAUCUUUAACAUCAACUGCUAAAGUUCAAGGUGAUUUAGCGAGGGACAGCAUAGAAUUCAUACACAUGGGGUACAACCAGAAUUCCAGUUGCAUCUGGUGAGAUGUCGAUAUCCUUGUGAUCGAUGACAGGCUUGAAGACAAAGUUCUGCAGGAGAGUGGUCAAAAAAAGGAAGAGUUCCGUGCGAGCCAAAGAUUCUCCCAGGCACAUUCUUUUCCCUGCAAGAGUACAGAAAUGUUCUUGAAAACAAAUUUGUAAAAGGUUUAAUAUCCAUUGAAAAAAUCAGAUGGCAGAGAUGAAGAAGAUAUUCCUGAAGCAUUGAGAGUGUACCUUCAGGCUUCUGUACCUCCUUCCUAAUGGUAACGAUGAGAAGGAGGCUUGAUCAGGGUGAUGGGGUCCUUAAUGAUGGACACCACCUUUCUGAGACGUGGCUCCUUGAAGAUACCUUGGAUACUAUGGAAACGAGUGACCAUGAUGAUGCUGACUGAGUUUACAACUCUCUGCAGUUUACGUCGAUCCUGUACAGUAUCAAGCUCCCCUACCAGAUGUUGAUGCAGCCAGUUAGAAUGUGCUCCACAGUAGAAACUGUAGAAAUUUGAGGAUAUUUUUGGUGUCAGACCAAAUUUCCUUAAAAUUCCUAAUGAAAUAUAGCCAUUGUCUUGCCUUCCUAUGAGCUGCAUCGAUACGUUGUGCCCAGGUUAGGCCUAUUUUUUACUUACAUACAUAGCUUAUUUCUGAUUGCCCUGGAACUAAUUAGCUUCCUUGCUGUGUCAGUAUCACAUUGAGGCCACACCAAGAUUUCUUUUCUCACACUAAAAAGGACAUUUAUUUAUUUAUUUAGUGAUAUGGAGCAGGCCCCUUCGAGACACACCAUCCCAACAACCUGUGACAACCCCCAUUAACCUUGCCCCAAUUACAGGAAUAUUUACAAUUACCAAUUAACCUACCUGGUAUAACUCUGGACAAUGAGAAGAAACCAGAGAACCAGGGGAAAAUUCCACACGCAUUCCACUGGGAAGAUGUACAGACUCCUUACAAAGCAGCACCAGAAUGGAACUCUGAACCUUAGAACACCCAGUCUGUAAUGGCAUUGUGCAAGAUGCUAUGCUACUGUGGCGCCCAAAUUCAUCAACCAGUUCAUUUUUAGCCACUUCAUAGCUGGCAUUAUUGAACUAACUCUUUAAUUUCCACUUUAUUGAAUUACUAAAAUUUAAAUUCUGCUGCUCUCAUGGUUGGAUCCAAACUCAAAUUCUGAAUCAAUAACCUAGAUCACCGGCUACUAGCACAGUAAUCAAUAACCAAUAUAUUUUGCCCUUGUUCCAUCAUCAGGGACCCCCACCACCCUCUUCUCACUUCUGCUCACUUCUCACUGCUGCCACCAGGAAGAAGAUACAGGAGCUUCUGGACUCAUACCAAACGAUUCAGGAACAGUUAUUACCCCUCAACCAUUCGGCUCUUGAACCACUUGCCCCGUUAUUGAAAUGUUCCCACAACCGAUGGACUGACUUUCAAGGGCCCUUCAUCUCAUGCUCUCAAUAUUUAUUGCUUAUUUAUUUGUUAUUAUUAUUAUUAUUAAAUGUAAUUAUUUUUGUAUUUGCAGAGCUUGUUGUCUUCUGCAUUCUAGUUGAACAUCUGAGUUAGGCAGUCUUUCAUUGAUUCCAUUAUGGUUAAAAUUCUAUAGAUUUAUUGUCUAUGCUAGUAGGUAAAUAAAUUUCAGGGUUGUAAAUGGUGAUAUGUAUAUGCUUUAAUCAUAAAAUUUACUUUGAACUUGUGAUUCAUCAUGGAAUACACCUUUGAGAAAGUACAAACUUAUUUAUGUGAUGUUUCUUAAAUUAAAUUGGAAAGCUCAGAGAUCUUAAACGUUGGGUGUUGAGGUGUAUUCUAGAGAUAUGGAAUAUAGAAAACAUUAAUUUCAACAGCAACCAGUCUUUAGAUAUGAAUGUGGAUUUUAGAUUGAAUUUAAAAUUCAGCACAAAACAAUGGUCUUCCAGGAAAUGUAGACUGGGGUUGAUUUUAAUCCAGGAAACACCCCGCUUACCUGACAUACUUGUAUACGGAUGAAUGCAAUGGUGAUUAGUAUUCAAUCUGUGGUCCGGAGUGUUGGUGUGAAGAUUUAGGUGUUUAAAAAUAAUAUUGAUUUAUUGUUUGAUUGAGAUACUGCACGGAAUAGACCCUUUCAGUCCUACGAGCUGCUUUACCCAGCAAUCCCCCAAUUUAAUCCCAGCCUAAUCAUGGGACCAUUUACAAUAACGAAUUAACCCACUACAGUAAGUCUUUGGACUGUGGGAGGAAACAGGAGCGCCCAGAGGAAACACACACCAUCAUGGGGAGAAUAUACAAACUCUUUAGACAGUGGUGGGAAUUGAAUUCGAGCCACUGGUACUGGAAAUUAUUGUGCUGACCACUACACUACCAUUCCACCCUAAGUGAAGCAUUGUCAACCCAAUGUAUUGAAAUAAACAAUGUUAUUGUAAACAUUGAAA
Molecule: RNA transcript, 5863 nt
Organism: Hypanus sabinus (Atlantic stingray)
Lineage: Eukaryota; Metazoa; Chordata; Chondrichthyes; Myliobatiformes; Dasyatidae
Gene name: cytochrome P450 2C39-like
Exons: 5
Source: RefSeq, a predicted model, not a curated record